This is a small nuclear RNA of Myotis myotis, 107 nucleotides long. The record is from RefSeq and is a predicted model, not a curated record. Lineage: Eukaryota; Metazoa; Chordata; Mammalia; Chiroptera; Vespertilionidae.
GUGCUUGCUGCAGCCGCACAUAAACUAAAAUUGAAACGAUACAGAGAAGAUUAGCAUAGCCCCUGCACAAGGAUGGCACACAAAUUCGUAAAGUGUUGCAUAUUUUU